RNAcentral lists this ribosomal RNA (2341 nucleotides) under Staphylococcus aureus. RNAcentral describes it as "partial 23S ribosomal RNA". It matches the Rfam family "Bacterial large subunit ribosomal RNA", at positions 578 to 2925 of the family's 2925-position model. The record is from RNAcentral. Lineage: Bacteria; Bacillati; Bacillota; Bacilli; Caryophanales; Staphylococcaceae.
AGCCCGUUAAUGGGUGAUGGCGUGCCUUUUGUAGAAUGAACCGGCGAGUUACGAUUUGAUGCAAGGUUAAGCAGUAAAUGUGGAGCCGUAGCGAAAGCGAGUCUGAAUAGGGCGUUUAGUAUUUGGUCGUAGACCCGAAACCAGGUGAUCUACCCUUGGUCAGGUUGAAGUUCAGGUAACACUGAAUGGAGGACCGAACCGACUUACGUUGAAAAGUGAGCGGAUGAACUGAGGGUAGCGGAGAAAUUCCAAUCGAACCUGGAGAUAGCUGGUUCUCUCCGAAAUAGCUUUAGGGCUAGCCUCAAGUGAUGAUUAUUGGAGGUAGAGCACUGUUUGGACGAGGGGCCCCUCUCGGGUUACCGAAUUCAGACAAACUCCGAAUGCCAAUUAAUUUAACUUGGGAGUCAGAACAUGGGUGAUAAGGUCCGUGUUCGAAAGGGAAACAGCCCAGACCACCAGCUAAGGUCCCAAAAUAUAUGUUAAGUGGAAAAGGAUGUGGCGUUGCCCAGACAACUAGGAUGUUGGCUUAGAAGCAGCCAUCAUUUAAAGAGUGCGUAAUAGCUCACUAGUCGAGUGACACUGCGCCGAAAAUGUACCGGGGCUAAACAUAUUACCGAAGCUGUGGAUUGUCCUUUGGACAAUGGUAGGAGAGCGUUCUAAGGGCGUUGAAGCAUGAUCGCAAGGACAUGUGGAGCGCUUAGAAGUGAGAAUGCCGGUGUGAGUAGCGAAAGACGGGUGAGAAUCCCGUCCACCGAUUGACUAAGGUUUCCAGAGGAAGGCUCGUCCGCUCUGGGUUAGUCGGGUCCUAAGCUGAGGCCGACAGGCGUAGGCGAUGGAUAACAGGUUGAUAUUCCUGUACCACCUAUAAUCGUUUUAAUCGAUGGGGGGACGCAGUAGGAUAGGCGAAGCGUGCGAUUGGAUUGCACGUCUAAGCAGUAAGGCUGAGUAUUAGGCAAAUCCGGUACUCGUUAAGGCUGAGCUGUGAUGGGGAGAAGACAUUGUGUCUUCGAGUCGUUGAUUUCACACUGCCGAGAAAAGCCUCUAGAUAGAAAAUAGGUGCCCGUACCGCAAACCGACACAGGUAGUCAAGAUGAGAAUUCUAAGGUGAGCGAGCGAACUCUCGUUAAGGAACUCGGCAAAAUGACCCCGUAACUUCGGGAGAAGGGGUGCUCUUUAGGGUUAACGCCCAGAAGAGCCGCAGUGAAUAGGCCCAAGCGACUGUUUAUCAAAAACACAGGUCUCUGCUAAACCGUAAGGUGAUGUAUAGGGGCUGACGCCUGCCCGGUGCUGGAAGGUUAAGAGGAGUGGUUAGCUUCUGCGAAGCUACGAAUCGAAGCCCCAGUAAACGGCGGCCGUAACUAUAACGGUCCUAAGGUAGCGAAAUUCCUUGUCGGGUAAGUUCCGACCCGCACGAAAGGCGUAACGAUUUGGGCACUGUCUCAACGAGAGACUCGGUGAAAUCAUAGUACCUGUGAAGAUGCAGGUUACCCGCGACAGGACGGAAAGACCCCGUGGAGCUUUACUGUAGCCUGAUAUUGAAAUUCGGCACAGCUUGUACAGGAUAGGUAGGAGCCUUUGAAACGUGAGCGCUAGCUUACGUGGAGGCGCUGGUGGGAUACUACCCUAGCUGUGUUGGCUUUCUAACCCGCACCACUUAUCGUGGUGGGAGACAGUGUCAGGCGGGCAGUUUGACUGGGGCGGUCGCCUCCUAAAAGGUAACGGAGGCGCUCAAAGGUUCCCUCAGAAUGGUUGGAAAUCAUUCAUAGAGUGUAAAGGCAUAAGGGAGCUUGACUGCGAGACCUACAAGUCGAGCAGGGUCGAAAGACGGACUUAGUGAUCCGGUGGUUCCGCAUGGAAGGGCCAUCGCUCAACGGAUAAAAGCUACCCCGGGGAUAACAGGCUUAUCUCCCCCAAGAGUUCACAUCGACGGGGAGGUUUGGCACCUCGAUGUCGGCUCAUCGCAUCCUGGGGCUGUAGUCGGUCCCAAGGGUUGGGCUGUUCGCCCAUUAAAGCGGUACGCGAGCUGGGUUCAGAACGUCGUGAGACAGUUCGGUCCCUAUCCGUCGUGGGCGUAGGAAAUUUGAGAGGAGCUGUCCUUAGUACGAGAGGACCGGGAUGGACAUACCUCUGGUGUACCAGUUGUCGUGCCAACGGCAUAGCUGGGUAGCUAUGUGUGGACGGGAUAAGUGCUGAAAGCAUCUAAGCAUGAAGCCCCCCUCAAGAUGAGAUUUCCCAACUUCGGUUAUAAGAUCCCUCAAAGAUGAUGAGGUUAAUAGGUUCGAGGUGGAAGCAUGGUGACAUGUGGAGCUGACGAAUACUAAUCGAUCGAAGACUUAAUCAA